UACGGAGGGUGCGAGCGUUGUCCGGAAUCACUGGGCGUAAAGGGCGCGUAGGCGGCGCGGUAAGCGUGCGGUGAAAGUCCGGGGCUCAACCCCGGAUCGGCCGUGCGGACUGCCGGGCUCGAGCACUGUAGGGGCGGGUGGAACUCCGGGUGUAGCGGUGGAAUGCGUAGAGAUCCGGAAGAACACCGGUGGCGAAGGCGGCCCGCUGGGCAGUGGCUGACGCUGAGGCACGAAGGCCAGGGGAGCAAACGGG
This 253-nucleotide ribosomal RNA is filed under the name uncultured bacterium. Its description in RNAcentral is "partial 16S ribosomal RNA". It matches the Rfam family "Bacterial small subunit ribosomal RNA", at positions 524 to 776 of the family's 1533-position model. The record is from RNAcentral.